Molecule: ribosomal RNA, 427 nt
Filed under: uncultured delta proteobacterium
Lineage: Bacteria; Deltaproteobacteria
Description: bacterial SSU rRNA
Rfam family: Bacterial small subunit ribosomal RNA
Source: RNAcentral
GGUCUGAGAGGAUGAUCAGCCACNCUGGAACUGAAACACGGUCCAGACUCCUACGGGAGGCAGCAGUGGGGAAUAUUGCGCAAUGGGCGAAAGCCUGACGCAGCAACRCCGUGUGAGGGAUGAAGGCUUUCGGGUCGUAAACCUCUGUCGGAAGGGAAGAACGGGCAUUGGUCUAAUAGGCCUUUGUUUUGACGGUACCUUUAGAGGAAGCACCGGCUAACUCCGUGCCAGCAGCCGCGGUAAUACGGAGGGUGCAAGCGUUAUUCGGAAUUACUGGGCGUAAAGCGCACGUAGGCCGCUYUGUAAGUCAGGGGUGAAAUCCCACGGCUCAACCGUGGAACUGCCUUUGAAACUGCAGAGCUUGAAUCCUGGAGAGGGWGGCGGAAUUCCUGGUGUAGGAGUGAAAUCCGUAGAUAUCMGGAGGAAC